UUGAAAUCUGGCGCCUUCGGAUGUGAGAGAAUUUGAAGAUUGUAACCUUGGGGUUGGCUCUUGUCAAAGUUUCUUGGAACAGGACGUCACAGAGGGUGAGAAUCCCGUGCGAUGAGAUGCCCAAUUCUAUGUAAGGUGCUUUCGACUCUCUCGAGUUGUUUGGGAAUGCAGCUCUAAGUGGGUGGUAAAUUCCAUCUAAAGCUAAAUAUUGGCGAGAGACCGAUAGCGAACAAGUACAGUGAUGGAAAGAUGAAAAGAACUUUGAAAAGAGAGUGAAAAAGUACGUGAAAUUGUUGAAAGGGAAGGGUUUGAGAUCAGACUCGAUAUUUUGUGAGCCUUGCCUUCGUGGCGGGGUGACCCGCAGCUUAUCGGGCCAGCAUCGGUUUGGGCGGUAGGAUAAUGGCGUAGGAAUGUGACUUUACUUCGGUGAAGUGUUAUAGCCUGCGUUGAUGCUGCCUGCCUAGACCGAGGACUGCGAUUUUAUCAAGGAUGCUGGCAUAAUGAUCCCAAACCGCCCGUCUUGAACCACGGAACC
This 535-nucleotide ribosomal RNA is filed under the name Meyerozyma guilliermondii. RNAcentral's name for it is "eukaryotic LSU rRNA". It matches the Rfam family "Eukaryotic large subunit ribosomal RNA", at positions 118 to 664 of the family's 3401-position model. Lineage: Eukaryota; Fungi; Ascomycota; Pichiomycetes; Serinales; Debaryomycetaceae. The record is from RNAcentral.